Molecule: ribosomal RNA, 527 nt
Filed under: uncultured microorganism
Description: bacterial SSU rRNA
Rfam family: Bacterial small subunit ribosomal RNA
Source: RNAcentral
GAGUUUGAUCCUGGCUCAGGAUGAACGCUGGCGGCGUGCUUAACACAUGCAAGUCGAACGGGGCCACCAUUUUUGAAGCGAUUAGCUUGCUAAGAGUGGAAAUGUUGGCGGCUUAGUGGCGGACGGGUGAGUAACGCGUGGGUAACCUGCCAUAUACAGGGGGAUAACACUUAGAAAUAGGUGCUAAUACCGCAUAAGCGCACGGAGCUGCAUGGCUCAGUGUGAAAAACUCCGGUGGUAUAUGAUGGACCCGCGUCUGAUUAGCUUGUUGGCGGGGUAACGGCCCACCAAGGCGACGAUCAGUAGCCGGCCUGAGAGGGUGGACGGCCACAUUGGGGACUGAGACACGGCCCAAAACUCCUACGGGAGGCAGCAGUGGGGAAUAUUGGACAAUGGGGGGAACCCUGAUCCAGCGACGCCGCGUGAGUGAAGAAGUAUCUCGGUAUGUAAAGCUCUAUCAGCAGGGAAGAAAGAAAUGACGGUACCUGACCAAGAAGCCCCGGCUAACUACGUGCCAGCCGCCGCCG